This 384-nucleotide long non-coding RNA is filed under the name Carica papaya (papaya). RNAcentral's name for it is "long non-coding RNA (CPAP_LNC010981)". The record is from RNAcentral. Lineage: Eukaryota; Viridiplantae; Streptophyta; Magnoliopsida; Brassicales; Caricaceae.
AAAAAUGGAAAAAUCAGAGCUAGAAAGACCUGUGAACUUGUGGGAACGGCCCGCGGGCUUGCCCCUACGAGCCCGCGUGCCCGUGCACUUACCGCGCAGACAUGGGGUAGAAUGUGCACGCAGGUGUCGCACAUAGCAUGUUCACGUCCCAUCGGCCUACGUGCGUCCCAUUAGCUACCUGUGCAUGUUAGCCACCCCUCACCUUAUCUGCAACUGCCCCUCAUGUCGCCUCCAGCCGUCUCGUCGGUCACCGUAUAUCGUUGGCUGCACCCUUCCAUUGGCUACCACAUGUCAGUCAUGCAUGCUACCACAUGGCACAUAUGUAUCCUUUCUCGAUAGCUAUUUAAAUCCUUCUCCAUUCACUCUUAUCUCUCAUUCCUUCCA